RNAcentral lists this ribosomal RNA (835 nucleotides) under Hapalocystis berkeleyi. RNAcentral describes it as "eukaryotic LSU rRNA". It matches the Rfam family "Eukaryotic large subunit ribosomal RNA", at positions 76 to 943 of the family's 3401-position model. Lineage: Eukaryota; Fungi; Ascomycota; Sordariomycetes; Diaporthales; Sydowiellaceae. The record is from RNAcentral.
UGCCCCAGUAACGGCGAGUGAAGCGGCAACAGCUCAAAUUUGAAAUCUGGCCUCGGCCCGAGUUGUAAUUUGCAGAGGAUGCUUUUGGCGCGGCGCCCUCCGAGUUCCCUGGAACGGGACGCCACAGAGGGUGAGAGCCCCGUAUGGUCGGACGCCAAGCCUGUGCAAAGCUCCUUCGACGAGUCGAGUAGUUUGGGAAUGCUGCUCAAAAUGGGAGGUAAAUCUCUUCUAAAGCUAAAUACUGGCCAGAGACCGAUAGCGCACAAGUAGAGUGAUCGAAAGAUGAAAAGCACCUUGAAAAGGGGGUUAAACAGUACGUGAAAUUGUUGAAAGGGAAGGGCUCGUGACCAGACUUGUGCCAGGCGGCUCAUCCGGCGUUCUCGCCGGUGCACUCCGCCUGGCUCAGGCCAGCAUCGGUUCUUGCCGGGGGACAAGAGCGGCGGGAACGUGGCCCCCCUCGGGGGGUGUUAUAGCCCGCCGCACGAUGCCCUGGCGGGGACCGAGGUCUGCGCUCCGCAAGGAUGCUGGCGUAAUGGUCACCAACCACCCGUCUUGAAACACGGACCAAGGAGUCGUCCAUCAGAGCGAGCGUUUGGGUGUCAAACCCGCACGCGUAAUGAAAGUGAACGCAGGUGAGAGCUUCGGCGCAUCAUCGACCGAUCCUGAUGUCCUCGGAUGGAUUUGAGUAAGAGUUUUGCUGGACGGACCCGAAAGACAGUGAACUAUGCUUGUAUAGGGUGAAGCCAGAGGAAACUCUGGUGGAGGCUCGCAGCGGUUCUGACGUGCAAAUCGAUCGUCAAAUAUGAGCAUGGGGGCGAAAGACUAAUCGAACUGU